This 694-nucleotide ribosomal RNA is filed under the name uncultured Fusobacterium sp. Its description in RNAcentral is "bacterial SSU rRNA". It matches the Rfam family "Bacterial small subunit ribosomal RNA", at positions 113 to 821 of the family's 1533-position model. Lineage: Bacteria; Fusobacteriati; Fusobacteriota; Fusobacteriia; Fusobacteriales; Fusobacteriaceae. The record is from RNAcentral.
ACGCGUAAAGAACUUGCCUCUUAGACCGGGACAACAUCUGGAAACGGAUGCUAAUACCGGAUAUUAUGGUUUCUUCGCAUGGAGGAAUCAUGAAAGCUACAUGCGCUAAGAGAGAGCUUUGCGUCCCAUUAGCUCGUUGGUGAGGUAACGGCCCACCAAGGCAAUGAUGGGUAGCCGGCCUGAGAGGGUGAACGGCCACAAGGGGACUGAGACACGGCCCUUACUCCUACGGGAGGCAGCAGUGGGGAAUAUUGGACAAUGGACCACAAGUCUGAUCCAGCAAUUCUGUGUGCACGAUGACGUUUUUCGGAAUGUAAAGUGCUUUCAGUCGGGAAGAAGUCAGUGACGGUACCGACAGAAGAAGCGACGGCUAAAUACGUGCCAGCAGCCGCGGUAAUACGUAUGUCGCAAGCGUUAUCCGGAUUUAUUGGGCGUAAAGCGCGUCUAGGCGGCAAGGAAAGUCUGAUGUGAAAAUGCGGAGCUCAACUCCGUAUGGCGUUGGAAACUGCCUUACUAGAGUACUGGAGAGGUAGGCGGAACUACAAGUGUAGAGGUGAAAUUCGUAGAUAUUUGUAGGAAUGCCGAUGGGGAAGCCAGCCUACUGGACAGAUACUGACGCUAAAGCGCGAAAGCGUGGGUAGCAAACAGGAUUAGAUACCCUGGUAGUCCACGCUGUAAACGAUGAUUACUAGGU